CGAGGCCGCGCCACGCCGCGCGGAGACCAACCGUGACUUUUCCCAGCCCUUCAGCAACAGACAGGCAAGUCGGAGCUGUUAGUACAGGCCAGAGUUCCUGCUCUAGAACUCCUCUUAAGCUGACUGAAGAAUUUUGCCUGUGGACAAAAGGCACAUCAGAGCAAGAUAACUAUCCACAGACCUGGCAUGUAUCAACGUGGUCAAGUUAGCUAUGCAAGACUUCUGGGGUACAUGACUAAGAAGGCACCAACAGUACAAAGCAAAGACAAAGCAGUCUGAGUAUUUUAAGAGUGCUCUACACUGAUACAACACAAGAAAAGGCAACAAUAGUAAGUAAACCAGCUGCAACCGUUAGAAAUUUGUUCUAGAUUUACAAAGGUAUUCCAACUUUUACUUUUCCUCCAAUGCUUCACUUAGUUUGAUCACAGCACAUGCUACAAAAAUCAUUGCAAGCUUCACUUUACUAAUGUGCACUUUUCACUAAUUUAGUGUCUUGAUUUCAAUUGUCAACUAAACCAUUUUAAAGCACAAAUGUAUUUAAAACUUAGUAAAAGGAUUGAUUGGACUUUUUUUUUUUUGUUUAAACCACUGCAUUUACAAAAAUAUUUCCCCUAAAAUCUGGGAUUGCUUGAAGACAUUGCUGUACAAAUAUAAAAGUACUAUGCAAGGGACCAAAUUCAUGUGUAUACUGUGUGUAUGUAUAGACCUAUAUUUAUACCAUAUCACUGCGCUGUAACAACACAAUAAAUUUAUCAAUAACCAAGGACUAUAUAAACUA
Molecule: long non-coding RNA, 778 nt
Filed under: Struthio camelus australis
Lineage: Eukaryota; Metazoa; Chordata; Aves; Struthioniformes; Struthionidae
Description: lncRNA (ENSSCUG00000004096.1)
Source: RNAcentral